AUAAAACCACUUAAUGAGACGGAAACUAGGCAAGGACUUCACCUUUGUUUCCCUAUCCUAAUCAUUCACUAAGUUUAUUGUAAACUAUGUAGUAAAAAAUAACCACAUGCUCUCCAAAAUGUUUGAUGUGUAUAACACAAUUGAAAAAGGUUUCAAGAGAGAUAGUGGGAGUUUAGGGACCAUGACUAUUGUAGUCAAAAGGAGAAGUCAGAUAAAGAAGAUAAAUAACUCCAAGGGAACAAACUUUCUUUAUGAAAUGAUGGAUAUUGGAAGGGGUAUUUGCAAGAAAUGUCUUGCAAGUGUCAAGAACACACCUUUCGAAGGUGUUGUAAAUUGUUCUUGAAUAGUUCCAAACAGUUGGUUCUUCUACUUGAAUGCUUGAUUCCGUAUUAGUAACUAUGUUUUACAAAUCGUUGUAAAAGUGUGACUAAUAAGAAGUAGAAGAUAUAUGAGUGAAGAAAAGGUGCUUCACAUUCGGAAACGUGAAUCAAAUAUAGAUCU
This 501-nucleotide long non-coding RNA is filed under the name Malus domestica (apple). Its description in RNAcentral is "long non-coding RNA (MDOM_LNC000998)". Lineage: Eukaryota; Viridiplantae; Streptophyta; Magnoliopsida; Rosales; Rosaceae. The record is from RNAcentral.